Molecule: ribosomal RNA, 861 nt
Filed under: Triticum aestivum (bread wheat)
Lineage: Eukaryota; Viridiplantae; Streptophyta; Magnoliopsida; Poales; Poaceae
Description: partial small subunit ribosomal RNA
Source: RNAcentral
GCAGACGACGGGCACGGGACGCUGCGGGAGGCGUGCCGGGCCAAGGAGCCGCUGUGGAUCGUCUUCGAGGUGUCCGGCGACAUCCACCUCCACACCUACCUCCGGGUCUCCUCCCACAAGACCAUCGACGGGCGGGGGCAGCGAGUCAGGCUCACCGGCAAGGGCCUCCAGCUCAAGGACUGCCACCACGUCAUCGUCUGCAACCUCCAGUUCGAGGCCGGCCGGGGCCACGACGUCGACGGCAUCCAGAUCAAGCCCGGCUCCACCAACAUCUGGAUCGACCGCUGCUCCCUCGCCGACUACGACGACGGCCUCAUCGACAUCACGCGCCAGAGCACCGACAUCACCGUCUCCAGAUGCCACUUUGCAAGGCAUGACAAGACGAUGCUCAUCGGCGCGGACCCGACGCACGUCGACGACAGGUGCAUCAGGGUGACCAUCCACCACUGCUUCUUCGACGGCACGCGGCAGAGGCACCCGCGCCUGCGCUUCGGCAAGGUCCACCUAUACAACAACUACACCAGGGACUGGGGCAUAUACGCCGUCUGCGCCGGCGUCGAAGCUCAGAUUGUGUCCCAGUGUAACAUAUACGAAGGUGGGCACAAGAAGACGGUCUUCAAGUACAUGCCGGAGAAGGCUGCCGACAGAGAAGAGACGGCGGCCGGGUGGAUCAGGUCGGAGGGCGACGCGUUCCUGCACGGUGCGCUGCCGUGCCUGGUCGACGGCCCGGGCGCCGAGUGCGUCUUCAGGCCGGAGGAGUACUACGACAGGUGGACGAUGGAGGCGGCGUCGCCGGCGCUCAAGGAGGUCAUUCAGCUCUGCGCUGGGUGGCAGCCUGUGCCCAGGCCCCCGGACUGCUAG